GAAGCAACCCAGGAACCCAUCAGCACACGGCGGAUAAAGGAAAUGUAAUAUACAUAUCAUGGAGUAUCGGCCUUCAAAAGGACUGAGAUUUUGACAUGGAGAGUUCUUAAAGACAUUAUGCUAAGUGAAAUAUGCUAAUGUGAAGGGUUACAGGAACUACUCCAAGGAGAUGCUGGGAAGUAGCCUGGGAAUGGCCAUCCCUCUCCCAUCAUUUCUCUUCCCUCAAUCCUGCUUCAGCUUCUGUCAGCCUGUGAAGGUCCUGCAGAGUGAGGUUAAGCCUUUUGUAAAAGAAAUCGCACAUCCUAAGUUCGAAGCCUGGACCUGGCCAACAUCUCAGCAAGAUGAAAGCCUUGGCCCUUACAAAUGGCUUUUGUCUCAGCCUCGAAACCCUCAUGUGACACCCUGAGAUCGCACCUGACUGACCAUCUCAAAAAAGAACCAGAACAAUCUCCUUGUGCUUUCCCUGAGCUGGUGAAGCUGGUAAAAAUCACUGAAAAUGAGGAAAGUAAAUUAACACAAGGAAGAAGCAGGACAAGGGGGAUUCUGUCCUCCUGACUACUGAGUUAACUGCAAUGAAAACAAAGUACAAAGGACUGCUAGUUCUGUGCAUAUAUUUACAUAGAAAUGUGCAAUUUUUUUUAAAAGGGGCCUUCCUGGUGUUUCUUUACUUAUGGGUUUAAUUUUUUAUCUCCUCAAUGUCCACCAGGAGGGCUCUGUUAAUAUUUACGUCGUGGGCCUUCCUGAGGAUGAGUUCAUUUCAGUCAUUGCUAAUCAACAGCCUUACUAUGAUGUCUUCUUUAUCCUGUAACAUUCCUAUUAUCCCUAACUCUUCAAAAAUACUCUUAGGAUAUUUUAGCAAGUGCCCUCUUCACCUUUUAAAGAGUUGUCUCCAGAUUGUUCAUAUUUGAAUAGCAUUUUAAAAACAAAUAUCAAUUGCC
This 938-nucleotide long non-coding RNA is filed under the name Heterocephalus glaber (naked mole-rat). RNAcentral describes it as "lncRNA (ENSHGLG00100049684.1)". Lineage: Eukaryota; Metazoa; Chordata; Mammalia; Rodentia; Bathyergidae. The record is from RNAcentral.